UUAGCUGCAUUGUUGUGGCUGUGGGGCCCAGCGCUGGGAGUUAUUAGAGCAGGAGGGAGGGCGUUGGAUUAAGACGAAUGAUUUAUUAAGGAAAAGGACUCUGAUUAGAUUCUUACUCAUUCCCUGCGUGUGGAUGCAUACUCAUACACCCCCCAUCCUGACUCCCCCUGGGGCACCACACAGCCAGUGUCAGUCAGUGCCGGAUGGCUGUGGGGUUUCUCCUUGGAGUGUAUCCUGCUGGCUGCUCUUGUGGUGCUGGGAGUCCCCCAUCUCAUACUGGGAUAGUGUAUGAGGUAACGACUGAUGCCUGGUGCCGGGCCCCCUGCAUGGUCCCCAGCUGCCUCUGCCUGCCCCUCACUUGUUUGGAAGGUGGGGGACUACUGGCAUCAUGCCCAGCUCUGCCUACCCUGUAGUGGGGACCCACAUUGGGUGCUGAGUGGGUCCUGAUGACUGGGGAGGGCGUAUGGGAAGGGAAAGUUGGGCUUUAGUGUGUUAGCUCUGUACCCUACAUUGUGGGAGAGGGAGCUAAGGGUGCCCCUCCAGCAGGAGGGUCAACAGGGCUCACCCUGGAUGAGGGGAGAUGUCAGCCCACUCCGUGGGUCCAGGGUGCUCUCUGCACCCCGGAGAUGUGGGGUGGGUAUGGCUGGAGAGACGGGCACUGCCACGGGUUGCCCAUGUCCUUCCGUCUUAGUGUCUGUGCUGUCACAAUGGGCCAUGUACAUGUCCCCCUGACUGUCCCUGGAGGGAACAGAGAUCAGGGACACAGGGACACCUGGGUGCUGCUGGGAUAUAAAGGAUAUAGAGUGGAAAGAGAGUAAUUUGGGGGACUGCAUGGUGAUUCUGAGAGCUGGGGAGCAGUUUGGGUUGGUGUGGCCUUGCCAGAAGAAGGAUCUCUGCAACCUGCUGUACUGAUGCCUGCAGUUUCCAGGUGGCCUCAAUAACAGUUUGGUCCCAUGUACCCUGGGUCAAACCCACAGCCUCCAGCUAUGAUGGGCGCAUUAAGCAUCCCCGAUCUCUGCCUGCCCUCUCCACAC
Molecule: long non-coding RNA, 1034 nt
Organism: Lepidothrix coronata (blue-crowned manakin)
Lineage: Eukaryota; Metazoa; Chordata; Aves; Passeriformes; Pipridae
Exons: 3
Source: RefSeq, a predicted model, not a curated record